GGGCGUAAAGAGCUCGUAGGUCGUUUGUCGCGUCGAUUGUGAAAAUCUGAGGCUCAACCUCAGACCUGCAGUCGAUACGGGCAAACUAGAGUGUGGUAGGGGAGACUGGAAUUCCUGGUGUAGCGGUGGAAUGCGCAGAUAUCAGGAGGAACACCAAUGGCGAAGGCAGGUCUCUGGGCCAUAACUGACACUGAGGAGCGAAAGUGCGGGGAGCGAACAGGAUUAGAUACCCUGGUAGUCCGCACCGUAAACGGUGGGCACUAGUUGUGGGAACCUUCCACGGUUUCCGCGACGCAGCUAACGCAUUAAGUGCCCCGCCUGGGGAGUACGAUCGCAAGAUUAAAACUCAAAGGAAUUGACGGGGCCCCGCACAAGCAGCGGAGCAUGCGGCUUAAUUCGACGCAACGCGAAGAACCUUACCAAGGCUUGACAUAUAGCGAAAAGUGGCAGAGAUGUCAUGUCCGCAAGGGCGCUAUACAGGUGGUGCAUGGUUGUCGUCAGCUCGUGUCGUGAGAUGUUGGGUUAAGUCCCGCAACGAGCGCAACCCUCGUUCUGUGUUACCAGCAUUAAGUUGGGGACUCACAGGAGACUGCCGGGGUCAACUCGGAGGAAGGUAAU
Molecule: ribosomal RNA, 618 nt
Filed under: uncultured Actinomycetes bacterium
Lineage: Bacteria; Bacillati; Actinomycetota; Actinomycetes
Description: bacterial SSU rRNA
Rfam family: Bacterial small subunit ribosomal RNA
Source: RNAcentral